RNAcentral lists this ribosomal RNA (497 nucleotides) under uncultured bacterium. RNAcentral describes it as "partial 16S ribosomal RNA". It matches the Rfam family "Bacterial small subunit ribosomal RNA", at positions 28 to 507 of the family's 1533-position model. The record is from RNAcentral.
GAUGAACGCUGGCGGCGUGCCUAAUACAUGCAAGUCGAGCGAACGGACGAGAAGCUUGCUUUUCUGAUGUUAGCGGCGGACGGGUGAGUAACACGUGGAUAACCUACCUAUAAGACUGGGAUAACUUCGGGAAACCGGAGCUAAUACCGGAUAAUAUUUUGAACCGCAUGGUUCAAAAGUGAAAGACGGUCUUGCUGUCACUUAUAGAUGGAUCCGCGCUGCAUUAGCUAGUUGGUAAGGUAACGGCUUACCAAGGCAACGAUGCAUAGCCGACCUGAGAGGGUGAUCGGCCACACUGGAACUGAGACACGGUCCAGACUCCUACGGGAGGCCGCAGUAGGGAAUCUUCCGCAAUGGGCGAAAGCCUGACGGAGCCACGCCGGCUGAGUGAUGAAGGUCUUCGGAUCGUAAAACUCUGUUAUUAGGGAAGAACAUAUGUGUAAGUAACUGUGCACAUCUUGACGGUAACUAAUCAGAAAGCCACGGCUAACUACGUG